Molecule: non-coding RNA, 2439 nt
Organism: Callithrix jacchus (white-tufted-ear marmoset)
Lineage: Eukaryota; Metazoa; Chordata; Mammalia; Primates; Cebidae
Source: RefSeq, a predicted model, not a curated record
GGAGACAGUCAUGCCUCAGGCCGUCUCGUGUAACUGGAGAGGUCGAGGGAGCCCCAAGCAGAGGGUCCUCGGAGUUGGGGGCCUUUGGGGCGGCACCGCCCACACCGGGGAGUGAGGCCAGCGGAUUGCCCGCGCUGUGGUGGCGCUCCCGAAUCCGGGCCUCGGCGGGUCCGUCACCCGCCUCCUGUGCCGGCGACAAGAGCACGCGUAGCCACCUACAUCUCACUCCCCUCUCUCCCAAAGAGACCAAACCAAGUGCAAAACGAGGAGCACUGACACAGCUGGGGCCCACACACCCGUUUUUGUUUUUUCCAGCGGGGGCCCACACACUAGAGUUUUUGUUUGUUUUUGACGGAGUCUCCCUUUAGGGAGGAGUUGGAGAGUGCGGUUUCCGUUACCUGUGGUUCCGAAGCCCCCCGCUCGCUUCCUGAAAGGCAUCGUGUUUCUUGCUUACGGCGUGACCCUUGUGGCAGCAGGCGCAGGGACAUUUGCAGUUGGGCGGGGGAGGGUUUACUUGUGCUAGUGUUGGACCGGUAUUGUUGAUAGGAGAGAUCUGGGGAGAAUAUUAAGCCGUCGCUCUUAACCCUAAUAGUGUUUGUGACGAUUUUACCCGUUGAUUUUUCUCAGCUAGCUCAGGAUCGUUCUUUGUGGGGAACUGAAUGAACUGCAGGCUGUUUAGCGUCCCUGGCCCCACGCGUUCCCAAAGUCGGAGUGAGAACUAGGACAGGGGAGGAUGGAGUGCAUGGCCCCUGUCCCCACUGUUAGUAGCACCAACUGCUAACUGCCUCCCGAAAGGUUGGCGCCAUCGUGUUUCAUGGGAGCCUUUCAGAACGGUCUAUCUACUCACCUUGGACAUCCUACCAAAAUGAUUUCUUCAAAGCCCAGAUUUUGCAUACCCUAUGGCCUCAAGACUCUACUCGAAGGAAUUAGCAUCGCCAUUAUCAAAAGCAACCCAUCAAACAUCGUCCAGUUUGCAGCAGUUUAUUUUGAAGAACUUACUAUGUAUAGAGAAGUGAAUACUUCUCUGGAUAUAAAGGAUCUGGUUAAACAGUUUCAUCAGAUUAAAGUACAGAAGUGGUCAGAAGGAUCAAUACGACCGAAGAAAGCAGAAUGUUUAAAAGAACCAGAAAAAUCAUCUGUAGAAUCUAAAGUACCUACACAUAUGGAAAAAUCUACAGACACAGAGGAGGACAAUGUAACAGGAACAGGAUAUAGUGACAAAACCACCCAGUUUCCAUCAACUUAUGCUGAGCUAGGUGCUGAGCAAACGGAAGCAGUUCAUGAUUCUUCUCCCAAAGCAGCUACCCCUAAGACUACUACCCCACCCUUCUCACCACCUCCAACAGCUGUCUCACCAGAGUUUGCCUAUGUCCCAGCUGACCCAGCUCAGUUUGCUGCUCAGAUGUUAGGUAAAGUUUCAUCUAUUCAUUCUGAUCAAUCUGAUGUUUUAAUGGUAGAUGUGGCAACCAGUAUGCCUGUUGUUACUGAGGAGGUGCCGAGCUCAGAGGCUGCUGAAGAUGUCAUGGUGGCUGCUCCUCCUGUGUAUUCUGGAAAGGUACUAGAAGUGCAGGUUGUGAGCCAAACAUCUGUCCAUGUAUAUUUGGGUUCUCAACCUAAAGAAAAUGAGGCUGAACUAUCAACGGCUUCCUCAGUCCCCUUGCAGGAUGAACAAGAACCUCCUGCUUAUGAUCUAGCUCCUGAGGUCCCUUUGCAGGCUGAUACUGAGGUUAUGUCAACUGUUCAUAUAUCAUCUAUCUAUAAUGAUGUGCCUGUGACUGAAGGAGUUGUUGAUGUCGAUUAACUGCCAGAACAAAUAGUUAUCCCUUUCUCUGAUCAAGUUGCUUGUCUUAAAGAAAAUGAGCAGUCACCACUAGUUAGUCCCAAACCUGUAGUAGAAAAGACAACCUCUGGUAUGUCUAAAAAAUCUAUAGAAUCUGUAAAACUUGAACAGUUGGAGGAGAAUGAAAAAUAUCCCUCAGUAUAUAUGGAGGCAGAAGCAACAGCUCUGCUCUCAGACACAUCUUUGAAAGGUCAGCCUGAGGUACCUGCAGAACCCCUGGAUGCAGAGGGCACUAUCAAAAUAGGCUCUGAAAAAUCUCUGCACUUUGAAGUGGCGAUCACUUCAAUAGUCUCUGACAAUACUGGGCAGGAGGAGUCCGGGGAAAACACUGCACCCCAGGAUAUGGAAGGCAAACCUGUGCUCUCUGGGGAAGCUGCAGAAGCAGUGCACUCAGGUACAUCUGUAAAAUCAUCUAGUGGCCCCUUCCCUUCUGCUCCAGAAGGUCUCACUGCACCAGAAAUCGAACCAGAAGGGGAAGCAACAGCUGAAUAAGGUUUGAUGAAGCCAGAUCCAGCAAUGAUGCUGUUUGAAGGGUCAUCAUUCAGGGAGGAGUCUGCCACCAAGUGUAAUAUAUCAAUAAACUUCAUGCAAGCAUACAA